GACGAACGCUGGCGGCGUGCUUAACACAUGCAAGUCGAACGGAAAGGCCUCUUUCGGGGGGUACUCGAGUGGCGAACGGGUGAGUAACACGUGAGUAACCUGCCCUUGACUUUGGGAUAACUUCAGGAAACUGGGGCUAAUACCGGAUAGGAGCUCCUGCUGCAUGGUGGGGGUUGGAAAGUUUCGGCGGUUGGGGAUGGACUCGCGGCUUAUCAGCUUGUUGGUGGGGUAGUGGCUUACCAAGGCUUUGACGGGUAGCCGGCCUGAGAGGGUGACCGGCCACAUUGGGACUGAGAUACGGCCCAGACUCCUACGGGAGGCAGCGGUGGGGAAUAUUGCACAAUGGGUGGAAGCCUGAUGCAGCAACGCCGUGUGCGGGAUGACGGCCUUCGGGUUGUAAACCGCUUUCGCUCAUGACGAAGCUUUGUGUGACGGUAGUGGGUAAAGAAGCACCGGCUAACUACGUG
This 467-nucleotide ribosomal RNA is filed under the name uncultured bacterium. RNAcentral's name for it is "partial 16S ribosomal RNA". It matches the Rfam family "Bacterial small subunit ribosomal RNA", at positions 28 to 507 of the family's 1533-position model. The record is from RNAcentral.